Molecule: ribosomal RNA, 250 nt
Filed under: uncultured bacterium
Lineage: Bacteria
Description: partial 16S ribosomal RNA
Rfam family: Bacterial small subunit ribosomal RNA
Source: RNAcentral
ACGCGCGAAACCUUACCCACCUUUGACAUGUACGGAAUCCUGAAGAGAUUUGGGAGUGCUCGAAAGAGAACCGUAACACAGGUGCUGCAUGGCUGUCGUCAGCUCGUGUCGUGAGAUGUUGGGUUAAGUCCCGCAACGAGCGCAACCCUUGUCAUUAGUUGCUACGAAAGGGCACUCUAAUGAGACUGCCGGUGACAAACCGGAGGAAGGUGGGGAUGACGUCAAGUCCUCAUGGCCCUUAUAGGUGGGG